RNAcentral lists this small RNA (505 nucleotides) under Arabidopsis thaliana (thale cress). RNAcentral's name for it is "putative long intergenic non-coding RNA". The record is from RNAcentral. Lineage: Eukaryota; Viridiplantae; Streptophyta; Magnoliopsida; Brassicales; Brassicaceae.
UUGAUUGAUUACAAGAUUUAUUUAUUUAUUUGUUCAUGAUUCCUUCUAUGCUUAGUCGAUAUAGGUGUUGCAUACUCGACACGUGGUAAUGUUCGUCCUCCCACUUGUGCUUGGUUUCACUUACAUCACCGAUUCCACAGUCCAUGAAAAGGUGUCUACAAUCACGUCUUUAAAAACACGUCGUCGUCUUUUGUUUAUUGCGGAAAAACAAACCUUAUAAAUCAUGAACCUGAAAGGACAGGGUAGUAGUAUACAGUACAUUAUACAAUAGUACAAAAUAUCUCUCUUGUCAGAAAUAAAUAAAAAUAAAUUACUCGUUCCACAUGUAUAUAUAAAUGAGAAUCCUUAAAGAGAAGGUUUCGUAAGAUCAGGAGUUUUGGUAAUGGAGUAAAAAAUUAGUCUUUUGGCCUCAUAAAACUAGUAUAAGAGUAAUUAAGUAUUACCAAAAUAAAACAAGAAAGUAUUUAGAAAUGUACGUAUUGUCUUCUGUAUCGUUUUUUAUCAC